CAGUAGCCGCGGUAAUACGAAGGGUGCAAGCGUUAAUCGGAAUUACUGGGCGUAAAGCGUGCGUAGGCGGUGAGUUAAGUCUGCUGUGAAAUCCCCGGGCUCAACCUGGGAAUGGCAGUGGAUACUGGCUCGCUAGAGUGUGUCAGAGGAUGGUGGAAUUCCCGGUGUAGCGGUGAAAUGCGUUGAGAUCGGAAGGAACGCCCGUGGCGAAAGCGAGGUCCUGGACCCUUUCUGACGCUGAGACGCGAAAGCCAGGGGAGCGAACGGGAUUAGAUACCCCCGUAGUCCCUGUCUCUUAUAC
Molecule: ribosomal RNA, 301 nt
Filed under: uncultured bacterium
Lineage: Bacteria
Description: partial 16S ribosomal RNA
Rfam family: Bacterial small subunit ribosomal RNA
Source: RNAcentral